Molecule: long non-coding RNA, 394 nt
Filed under: Phoenix dactylifera (date palm)
Lineage: Eukaryota; Viridiplantae; Streptophyta; Magnoliopsida; Arecales; Arecaceae
Description: long non-coding RNA (PDAC_LNC013796)
Source: RNAcentral
AGAGUGUCGAGGAGACUUGGACCAACAGCGAUGAAGGUUCUGGUGGUGAUGGAUCUACUAGCCAUGGAGAAAAUGGAGGACAGUAUGGUACUACUUAUGAGACACAGUCGGAGGGAGGUUUUCGAUACACCGGUGAGUCUCAGUUUACGCAUGCUACACAAGAUACGGAUCACGGUAGGCCGUCUGAUAUAGGCCGGUCGGAUACCAUUGCAUAUCGAAGAAGAGCUCCUCGAGGUCGUUCAAGAGGCCAGGAUGCAGCUGCAGAUGACCUCCCAUGUGGAGUCGGAUCCAUUGAUGUAUCAAGUUCCGAGUCUUCCUAUUAUCCGCGGCCUUAGCCAGCCUAUGGAUAUGGUGCAUCGGAGUCAUCUUCCGGUGGCUACUACCCUGCGCAGCC